Molecule: unclassified non-coding RNA, 226 nt
Filed under: uncultured Thermoleophilia bacterium
Lineage: Bacteria; Bacillati; Actinomycetota; Thermoleophilia
Description: contains 16S-23S intergenic spacer region
Source: RNAcentral
UCCGAGUUGACCCCGGCUGUCACCUACAUGUCAAGCCCAGGUAAGGUUCUUCGCGUUGCGUCGAAUUGAACCACAUGCUCCGCUGCUUGUGCGGGUCCCCGUCAAUUCCUUUGAGUUUUAGCCUUGCGGCCGUACUCCCCAGGCGGGGCACUUAAUGCGUUAGCUUCGGCACCGGAGGAGUCGACACCUCCGACACCUAGUGCCCAUCGUUUACGGCGUGGACUAC